This is a long non-coding RNA of Myotis brandtii (Brandt's bat), 679 nucleotides long. RefSeq lists it as uncharacterized. The transcript has 3 exons. The record is from RefSeq and is a predicted model, not a curated record. NCBI's taxonomy places the organism in Eukaryota, Metazoa, Chordata, Mammalia, Chiroptera, Vespertilionidae.
GGGUAGGGGUUGGGGAAAGGGGAGGGCUAGGGCCUGCUCGGCCAUAGUUGGACCCAUCUGGCUCUGCUGGGGAGCUACCCAGGGGGCCGGCUGGCCGUAGUCCAGACCCCUGGGUGCUCCCUGGGGUCCUUUCCUGGCCCGGAGGCCUCCAGCCCCCAAGCUUAGCAAGGCCCACCACCCCGGGAAGGCUUCAUGGCCCAUUCUUCUGCCUCCCCGCCUUCCCGGAGCCCCUUAGCGAGGACUGCCUCUGGGCACUUUGUCGGUGGGAGCUGGGCCAGCGCUUGCAGUCUUGGGAGCUCAGGUCCCUGGCAGAGAGGACGUGGCCUUGGCCACGCACAGCACACCUGGAGCCCACUGGUCUGGCACGGCAGCUCCUCAGUCCGUGAACCCUCUGCAAAACUUGACUAACGGAGCUCCCAGCUUCCCCAAACCUACCGUGGGCUCCAGCUCCCGCCCAGCCCCCUGUCUGUCUGGGCCCCACCUGGGGUGACCCAGAGUCAGCUCAGUCCAGCCCAGCCCUGGGGAGGAGAGCAGAGGGGAGCUCACGCCCUCUCCCAGGUCUGUCCUCUGGGGUCUGGAAUUCAUCUCCCACCUCCCAGCAGAUUCCUCCUACCCGCUGCAGGGUAACUCCUGUGCUGCUGACCCAGUCCCAGCACCUCCCUGCUCUGCCUUCUGCCCU